This 103-nucleotide microRNA precursor is filed under the name Marmota monax (woodchuck). Lineage: Eukaryota; Metazoa; Chordata; Mammalia; Rodentia; Sciuridae. The record is from RNAcentral.
AGUGGAAUAGCUGGGUCAAAUGGUGGUUCCACUCCAAAUUUCCUAAGGAAUUUCCAUACUGCUUUCCAGAUUGGCUUCACCAAUUUGUAAUUCCACCAGCAAU